CUCUCCUCCAUGAUUAUCAGCAUUACAUUUGGACAAGACUUUGGGAUUCCAGAAAUCACUUGCCAAUGUGUGCCAGUAGAUUGAAAGAGAGUUGACAUCUGUGGAAUACCAGACGAAUGACCAGAUUUCCCAACCUAACUGGAAUUCUUCUGGAGAGCUAAGACCUGGCCCCAGCCCUGGAAAUGAGAGUGAACACCAAGCAAUCGGCUACUCCCAAGGCUCCUGAGGUUUGGAUGCAAGACUGGAGAAUACAAAGGUGAAGGGUCCAUCUCACAUCCCAGUAUAGGAUGCACAAGAUCUUUUAGUCCAUGCUAGUUCUAUUGAAGAAGAUGAUGGGUUUCCUUGUCAUACUGCACCCAUCUGUGUCUGCUGACUUUAGUAUCUGUGGAAAAAUGGAAAAUGUUCUGCUGUGACUCAUAAGGAUCUCUCUUAGCAGUUCGUUCUAUUUGCACCUGCACCUUGGUCAUCUCUGAGGUCAAAGAAUGCAGGUGUUUCCAAUGAGUGGACAGUCGCAAGGCUGCGGGACCGGACGGCAUCCCAGGGCGGGUACUCAGAGUGCGCAGCACAACUGGCAGCCCCAGAACAUUACUACAGGCCUAUCCUGGGACCAGUUAUCUUGAACUCCUUCAGUCAUAAGAUCUGAAGUCAGGAUAUUUGGUAGUGAUCACACGAUGUUCAACGGAAUUUGCAAUACCUCAAUGAACAAGUCACUCCACGCCUGCACACAACAGGACCCGGACAACAUUCAGGGAUGGGCUGAUAAAUGUCAAGUAACGUCCACUCCUCAAGGGUGUGAAAGAGAGAGAUUCACUUACCUUUAGCAUCCACUAGCAUUACUGUUCUAUUUUGUAACUCCAGAAAAUAAUCAAAUGAAAAUAAAU
Molecule: long non-coding RNA, 881 nt
Organism: Mobula hypostoma (lesser devil ray)
Lineage: Eukaryota; Metazoa; Chordata; Chondrichthyes; Myliobatiformes; Myliobatidae
Exons: 5
Source: RefSeq, a predicted model, not a curated record